Molecule: unclassified non-coding RNA, 362 nt
Filed under: Hevea brasiliensis (rubber tree)
Lineage: Eukaryota; Viridiplantae; Streptophyta; Magnoliopsida; Malpighiales; Euphorbiaceae
Source: RNAcentral
UUGAGAACAAGGUAAAGUUUGAUUCUUUGGAGGAAACGGAGGAUGAUAUUCAGGUAAAGUUUGAAACUUUGGAAGAAACUGUAGAAUCUAUGGAGGAAACUGUUGAGUUAAAGCUUGAAUCUUUGGAGGAUCUUAAAGUAGUAGAAGAAGAAGGGAUGGUUUUCACUGAGGUUGUUAAACCAAAAAAGAAAAGGGGGAGACCACCCAACAAAAAUAAGGGAAAACUAAAAUUGGAGGAAGACACAGGAAAAGAGACUUGUAUUAAGAAAAACACGAAUCUUGGUAGGAAAAAGAAUCAUGUUCAAAAAAAGAAUCAUGUCAAUGAAAAAGAAGACGAAAUUGAUAGUAUGAGAGAAGAGGAA